GUAAGUUUUCUUGUAAUAUUUAUAGGUAAAUCCCCCCCUCUUAUAUUGCAAACCGCUACGGAAUAUGUUUGCGCUAUAUAAAUGGCAAUAAUAAUGGGAAAGCAUUAUACACGCUUUACGGUGGGUGAAAUACUACUGCUAGCACGGCCACUGAUGUGCAUUAGGUGUCCCCUGUCAGCAGGAAAGGCCACUUUGCAACUUUUUCUGAACACUAUAGUUUCCCUUUAACAGAAGUGUGUGUAUGUUUCUUACAAAGCUUUGAAGAAAGGAGAUAGCGCUGGCAGAGGAAAAGGAUUCCUUCCAGCAAGAACAGUAAAU
This is a non-coding RNA of Pelobates cultripes (western spadefoot toad), 318 nucleotides long. Lineage: Eukaryota; Metazoa; Chordata; Amphibia; Anura; Pelobatidae. The record is from the annotation of a GenBank genome assembly.